This 207-nucleotide long non-coding RNA is filed under the name Mytilus galloprovincialis (Mediterranean mussel). The record is from RNAcentral. Lineage: Eukaryota; Metazoa; Mollusca; Bivalvia; Mytilida; Mytilidae.
GUGACAUUGGACAAUGCAAAAAUCGAUUUGGUUGAUUUACCAAAUAUUAAACUUAAAAAUUGUUUUCAAUGCAUGCGAAAUACGAGAGCAAACUUACGAAUUUGUUCAAAAUACUAAGUUUUCAUCUCUAUCAUCAAACAAAAUUGUUUUGAAGAACUUUUCUCAUUGUGCAUUAACUUGUCUCUCGAACGGAAAUUGUUGUGCCGC